UACUACAUAAAUACUUGAAAAACUUUAAAGGCAGGCUUAAAUUAAGAAAAAAAAUUCCUGGAAGAACAACAAUAUCAACCAACCAGAUCCCACCAGAGCUCCCAGGGACUAAGCCACAACCAAUGAGUACACAUGAAGGGACCCAUGGCUCCAGCCACCUAUGUAGCAGAGGAUGGCAUUGUCCAGCAUCAAUAGGAGGAAAACCCUUGGUCCUGUGAAGGCUCAUUUCCCCAAUGUAGGGGAAUGCCAGAGUGUUGAGGUUGGAGUGGGAGUAUCCUCGUAGAAGUAGGGGGAGAGGGAAGGGAUGACAUUUGAAAUGUAAAUACAUAAAAUAUCCGAGAAAAAUAGAAUUUAAAAAAAA
RNAcentral lists this long non-coding RNA (361 nucleotides) under Rattus norvegicus (Norway rat). Its description in RNAcentral is "long non-coding RNA NONRATT001792". The record is from RNAcentral. Lineage: Eukaryota; Metazoa; Chordata; Mammalia; Rodentia; Muridae.